GGGUGAGUAGGAUGUUGUCAAUGAUGUGACGACCACUGAGAAAAGUGCUCUACUCUUGGUUGUGAAAUAAUCGACUUCAGACGUCCAAUCAGGAUCCUCGAUGCACUUUAUAGAGAGUGUUGCAAAGACUAAUCGGUCUGAAAUACCUUAGGAUCGACACGUUAGGUUUUUUCUAGAUGAUGGUGAUCAGCAUCCUCUUCCACUACUCCAAAAUGCCUCUGGCUGCAAACACCAUCCGCACAGUCUCAGUCAUCUCUCUACCAA
RNAcentral lists this long non-coding RNA (264 nucleotides) under Elaeis guineensis (African oil palm). RNAcentral's name for it is "long non-coding RNA (EGUI_LNC016596)". Lineage: Eukaryota; Viridiplantae; Streptophyta; Magnoliopsida; Arecales; Arecaceae. The record is from RNAcentral.